RNAcentral lists this ribosomal RNA (426 nucleotides) under uncultured Faecalibacterium sp. Its description in RNAcentral is "bacterial SSU rRNA". It matches the Rfam family "Bacterial small subunit ribosomal RNA", at positions 354 to 794 of the family's 1533-position model. Lineage: Bacteria; Bacillati; Bacillota; Clostridia; Eubacteriales; Oscillospiraceae. The record is from RNAcentral.
UGGGGGAAUAUUGCACAAUGGGGGGAAACCCGUGAUGCAGCGACGCCGCGUGGAGGAAGAAGGUCUUCGGAUUGUAAACUCCUGUUGUUGAGGAAGAUAAUGACGGUACUCAACAAGGAAGUGACGGCUAACUACGUGCCAGCAGCCGCGGUAAAACGUAGGUCACAAGCGUUGUCCGGAAUUACUGGGUGUAAAGGGAGCGCAGGCGGCGAAGCAAGCCAGAGGUGAAAACCCGGGGCUCAACCCCGAGGAUUGCCUUUGGAACUGUUUUGCUUGAGUGCUGGAGGGGCAGGCGGAAUUCCUGGUGUAGCGGUGAAAUGCGUAGAUAUCAGGAGGAACACCGGUGGCGAAGGCGGCCUGCUGGACAGUAACUGACGCUGAGGCUCGAAAGCGUGGGGAGCAAACAGGAUUAGAUACCCUGGUAGU